This is a long non-coding RNA of Coregonus clupeaformis (lake whitefish), 588 nucleotides long. RefSeq lists it as uncharacterized. Lineage: Eukaryota; Metazoa; Chordata; Actinopteri; Salmoniformes; Salmonidae. The transcript has 3 exons. The record is from RefSeq and is a predicted model, not a curated record.
CUAAGCCCCCAGUCCUAGAUGGACCCUCCCAAUAGUCAGCAGACAUGACAACAUCUCCGCAGCUCAUCAGACAAGUCCUGUCUGAGUUCUGCUCUGUGUCCGGCUGCUCCAUGACUCCUGCGUAUCCACAGGACCUGCAUAUCCACAGGGUGUUCAGGGGUGUAAAUAAAGAUGCAGAGAUGGAGGCUCAGCAGAAAGGAGGGAGCUUCCUUUGUUUUCCAAUGACCAAACUCAGAAUCUUCAAGCGUUCCAAGAGAGGACAAAAGAAGAACUGCUAGUCAGUCCAGGACCAGAUUUCCUCUGCAGAUGGACAUUGCCACGCCCCUCACAUUGAGCCUCAUGGUGCUGAGCCUUCAGUUCGAGACAUUUCUCAGCUGGAGGAGAAGCCCAAAAAAUACUCUCUCAUCGUCAGGGUCUUCUCAGCCAUGACCAAAGGCCUGAGGAACCCAUUCAAACACACCUCCAACAAGACAAAGACAGAAUGAUUUGACUAGCAAGAGAGUUAUUUGACAAGAGGGAUCAACAUACUGUUGAACUCUACCCUUUCAAAGUAAAUUUCAUGAAAUAAAUGCAAAUUGUUUUACAGCA